AUGGAUUUCUUAUCAUGGUGGAGUGGAUUACUGUUUGAUUUUGGGGUAGGCUGUCAACAGCGUGUACUGUGUGACACUAUCUGUUUUCUAAUGAUGUCAACAAUGCGUCUGGCAUAGAAUCAGGAACUAGAAUAGUAAUUUAAGAGGAUCUCUAUGGCGUAUAGACAUAUUUGAUGUCAUGAUUAUGAUGUCUUUAUGCCAUGGGUAAUGUCCAUAUUCACUUCAGUUCAUUGUGUCUGCGGAAGGUUCACAGACGGGUUUUCAACCGAGCUACAUUAUCAGAGACGCAAAGCGGGUGUCUUAACGGCUCACACAUCAUGGCUGACGACAACCAGAUACGGUUAAUUUAAGCCUACAUUUUUAAGUUUAAAAGAGAAAUCAAUAAGUCGAUUUUGAAUUUUCCUAAUUGCAUGUUGUUCAAACGGCAGUUCUUCCUUAAGGACAAAUGUGAUUGAUAUUAGGGCGGAAGUAUGAUUUGAAGUUUCAGCAAGUAAUUCCAACUGGGUAAUUGUUGUGGGAUGUCAGCAUGCAAUAAGCCUACUGCACGUGUAGAAUCAGUGCCAUGAAGGAUGGUGCAGGCCGGCAAGUUGCUACAGUAGCCUAGCAUGGAGUAGCAGAUGUGGAUCAGAUCUGGCUGACUUGUUCGCAGGCUAAAUUUCUCACCAGUCAUCCUCUGUAAUAAUUACCUCCCAGAGAGCAAUUACAAAGAACUAAUAAUGUUUUUAAAAGCACCAUUAUAACUAGCGACAUUACAGUCAGUCACCUCAGGCUGAGAAGGACUCGGUAGAACAGUGUUGGAUUUGUCCAUGUCUUGCUAAAUUAAUCUACCAUAACUGGGGAGACUUUAUACUGCAUUUUUAAAGCUGGAAUCCUUAAUGGUGAAACUACCACGUCCGAUAUUACAACAGCAGAGAAGUUACUGCAAACAACGAACACAGUUUUUUUCUGCUUUUCUGCUUCGUGCAUCAUUGCACGCAAGAUUAAACAUAAGUAUAUCCCACUGGACACGUACGUUAAUUCAACGUCUAUUUCACGUUGGUUCCAGAUAAUUCCCUUUAAAUGACUUGGAAACAACGUUGAUUCAACCAGUGUGUGACCAGUGGGAUGUAAGCCACCACUGCUUCGUCAACGAAAACAUUUCAGGGCCAUGCCGCUGUCUCAGGUGCUGCCCAGAUUCAAAACAUUUCAGGGCCAUGCCGCUGUCUCAGGUGCUGCCCAGAUUCGAAACAUUUCAGGGCCAUGCCGCUGUCCACUAACGCCUACAAACUCAGACAUUGACAGCUCAACAGUGCUGAAAUAGUUCGAGCCCCAGAGAACAUCAAUGAUUUUAAACUAGUUUAAGUGCAAGUGAUUAUAAUUUAUUGCACAUGUUAGUUUUGCUGAUUUGCAGCAUCAGAAUUAUCGCUAAUGGGUUGCAGCGAGUUACGUUUUUGAGCAUUUUUAAAAAUGUAUUUAUUUAUUUCACCUUUAUUUAACCAGGUAGGCAAGUUGAGAACAAGUUCUCAUUUACAACUGCGACCUGGCCAAGAUAAAGCAAAGCAGUUCGACACAUACAACAACACAGAGUUACACAUGGAGUAAAACAAACAUACAGUCAAUAAUACAGUUGAAGAAAAUAUAUAUACAGUGUGUGCAAAUGAGGUAAGAAAAGUGAGGUAAGGCAAUAAAUAGGCCAUGGUGGCGAAGUAAUUACAAUAUACCAAUUAGACACUAGAGUGAUUGACGUGCAGAUGGUGAUGAUGAUGCCUAAGAAGAGGAUGAGGAUGCUUGAUGAACCAUAAAUGACUCGCUAUGAUCUGUUUUCUGAUAUUGUCGACAAAGCGUUUAGACAUUAGACCAUAUAAAUAUAGCAAAUCCAUUGGAUUUAUGCUAUAGAUUUAGGCCUAAUUGUGACAUAAUGUGUAUACGGUAUUUUACGAAUCCCUCUGCUUAAGCCUAUCAGAAACGAGUAUUCAACAAUGUCUUGGUAAAAUUCAAGGAUAACGUCCAUGUCACUUCAGUUGCGUCUGUUGACGUUUCACCCAUGUGCUUUUAAAGGGACUAUCAGUAUUACCUCCAAAUAGCCUGCUACAAUAGGCUACACACCCAUGUCUGACGAUACCACGGUAUGGUUAAUUAUGCAUACUUUGAGUUUCGAGGAGAAAUCACUAUCAUUAUUUUAGGUCACUCACUACCAAAGCAAUACUGUAUGUCUCACUGGUUUGACCCAUGGACAGAAAGUUGACUACCACUGCCGUUUUGAGUAAAAUACCAGCAAAUAAGUUGUUUCAUAAAGUCACAAAAGAAGACUGAUAUUGCCCUCUCAUUUAUCCACCAGAGCAUGAAAUGGGAGUAUACCCCUGACUAUCAAAAGGAAGUUGGGGAGGAUAUGAAGGAUGAAACAGAGACUCAUGAGACCAAAUACAACAGGACAGGAAGCAAGGCUUAACGUAAGUCCAGUGGAGGUGGCAAGAAGAAUUCGGUGAAGGAGGACAGCAGCAUUUGUGCAGGGUCUUCUAAUGCACCCAGGUGUAGUUUCCAGGACAGGGAAUCUAACAUUGAGCAGCUGGAGAAGGAGCCUCAGAGGACUCUAAUGCCUUCUCUCAAUAUUGGGACAAGCUGUGCCCCAGUCCUCCUCCUUCCUGAGUAGUCUAACUAAUGAAACAAAAUGUCUCCUAUACUUAAUGGCUUAAUCAUUGGAUAGUGAUUCAGCAUGGCAUGAAGAAUAACCUGACGUUUGAGCAGCUCUCCAUGAUGUGUCUGAAGAUUGUUAAGGUCGUGACCCAGAUGGCCCUCCGCAUUCUGCUACCAGUGCUGGCUCGUAUCAUGGGGGUGAACCUGAGGAGUGGGACGACCUCCCCAGAAUCCCAGUGCUCUCUGACAGGGUCUAAGGACUCCUUGGACAGUCUGGAUGAGCGGGAGAAAAGGCUGCUGAUCAGUGAGAUGAACUACUGGACCAAGGAAAGGAGGAAUGGCAGGGCAGGGUGCCACGAAAAAUAUGUUGGCAGAACCAAACCACCAUGCUACUCCCCUAAGAGCGUUCCAAGAGAGGAAACAAAAUGACUGCCAUUCAGUCCAGGACCAGACUGAGAUUCCCUCUACUGCAUAGCCCCCCACAUUGGGGAUCAUGGUGCUGAAUCUCCAGUUGGAGAGGUUUCUCGGUUCAUCUCUCAGCCUAUCAACAAGACCCUGAUUAUCGCUCCUUGAUAAUCAGGCUCUUUUCAGCAAUGAUGAAGCCGUUCGAGCGCUCCUCCUGAAAGAACCUGUUACUCUGUAUGAAGAAAUACUUUUGACAAGAGGGAUAUGCAUGUCUACCCUUUAAAGUCUGCUUGAUCAAAUAAAUGCAAACUAUUUUACAA
Molecule: long non-coding RNA, 3338 nt
Filed under: Salmo salar (Atlantic salmon)
Lineage: Eukaryota; Metazoa; Chordata; Actinopteri; Salmoniformes; Salmonidae
Description: lncRNA (ENSSSAG00000080083.2)
Source: RNAcentral